This is a non-coding RNA of Ictidomys tridecemlineatus (thirteen-lined ground squirrel), 178 nucleotides long. The record is from RefSeq and is a predicted model, not a curated record. NCBI's taxonomy places the organism in Eukaryota, Metazoa, Chordata, Mammalia, Rodentia, Sciuridae.
GGUGAGAAAGAAAUGUAUACCCUGGGAAUCACUAAUUUUCCCAUUCCUGGAGAGCCUGGUUUUCCACUUAAUGCAAUUUAUGCCAAACCUGCGAAUAAACAGGAAGACGAAGUCAUGCGAGCCUACCUACAGCAGCUAAGGCAAGAGACUGGACUGAGACUUUGUGAGAAAGUUUUUG